GACGAACCGUGCAAACGUUGUUCGGAAUCACUGGGCUUAAAGGGCGCGUAGGCGGGCUCCCAAGUCGGUGGUGAAAUCUUUCGGCCCAACCGGAAAAGUGCCGCCGAUACUGGGAGUCUCGAGGGAGGUAGGGGUCGAUGGAACUUCCGGUGGAGCGGUGAAAUGCGUAGAUAUCGGAAGGAACGCCGGUGGCGAAAGCGAUCGACUGGACCUUUUCUGACGCUGAGGCGCGAAAGCCAGGGGAGCAAACGGG
RNAcentral lists this ribosomal RNA (253 nucleotides) under uncultured bacterium. Its description in RNAcentral is "partial 16S ribosomal RNA". It matches the Rfam family "Bacterial small subunit ribosomal RNA", at positions 524 to 776 of the family's 1533-position model. The record is from RNAcentral.